Molecule: long non-coding RNA, 7174 nt
Organism: Equus caballus (horse)
Lineage: Eukaryota; Metazoa; Chordata; Mammalia; Perissodactyla; Equidae
Source: Ensembl
UUGACAUUCAACUGGGUGUACUGGGUACCUCCUCUAUGCCUGGCACUAUUGGGGGUGAACAACUAAUUUCAGGUUGUGAGAAGCUAAUGUUUAUGGAGCGCUUACAACGCACUGACACUGUUCUGAGUGGUGGCACGGAUUGACUCGUUUAAUCCUCCCAGCCCUCUGUGAGGCAGGAAACCACUAAUAUCCCCAUUUUGUAGGUGACGAGACUGUUUCAUUGCUCUAUUGUUGCAUAGCAAUCCACCCCAAAAUUUAGCAGCUUGAAAGCAAUUAUUUUAUUCUGUCACAAUUCGGGGCUCAGCAGGGACAGCUCGUCUCUGCUGCAUGUGCCAGUGUUAGCUGGGCUUCUGGCUGAGGCUGGAGAGUCAAGAUGGCCUUGUCAUAUACCUGGGGCCUUGGGGCUGGCUGUCAGCUGGGGCGCCUCAGUCGUCCUUUGUGUGACCUCUCUCCAGCAGGAUAGCCAGGACUUCUUAUAUGACCAGCUUCCCAGAGUGCAAACACAGAAGCUGCAAGUGACGUAGCACCAUCAUGUCCAUCACAUUCAAUUGAUGAGGAAAUUGUGGCUCUGAGAGGUUGAAGCUCCAGGAUCUCUUAGCAAAGCAAAUGGCUAAGGCAGACGGGAGAGCUUACAUAACGUUUAAAUGUUGACGGGAAGGAUCCAGAUUGGAGGAAGUGGUUAAAUACAUAAGAGAAGGGAGUCGGGGACAGUAUAAAGUCCCUGGAAGGUGGGACUUGGAAGACCGCAGUGAAGGAUGCCAUGAAGUGGAAUGGGGGGGUCUGUGGCAAGUUGUGUGAGUGGAGACAAGUUGGCAGAGGAAGCAGAGAGAGAGGUGAAGUCGAAUGGAGCGAACACAUAGGGAGGCAGAGCCCCCAGGAGGGAGGAAAUCUGCAGCAGAGUCUUGCUGAUCCCUGCGGCUGCUUCCAUUCUGGCGUCCAGUGCUAGCUCUGGACCUUCUGUAUCCUUACAGCAACUCCCUUUUUCUUGAAAAUAUUUCAUUCAUUCAAAAAAUAUUUAUGGAGCAUCUGCUAUGCGCCAAGCCGGUCCUGAGCAUGGAAGAAAGAGCAGUCGACAAGACAAAUGCCAUCCUUGUCCUCAGAAUCUAUUCCUGCAUCCAAAGAAGUCAAGUGGCCCAACCUCUUUGGCAAGGCAGGGGCCUCAGUUUGGACUGAUUUACUGAAAAGCGGCAAAUAGAAGCAAGAGCAAUGGGGGUCAGAGGAAAAUGGACUUCCCAUGAGAGGAAGGGGGUUGUUGGAUAGGGCUUGUCAUCUGGAAAGUCUUGGGGACUUUGGGGAAGGCACGGGUGUGUCCACACAUGUCUCUGGGGCAACUCAGUGCAGAGAAUCACUCUGUGCUUCGCAAGUGUCGUGACGUGCAGGUGGUGCUGUUGACGAUACGUGUGCGAAGAAAGACAACCCAACAAAAUGACACCCUCCUGGGAAGCACGCCCAUUCUGGUUUUUUGUUGUUGUUUUUUACUUUUGGUUGUAGAAAUUUGAAAUCGUAUACAAAAAUGGAGAAAAUAGUACAGUGAACCUCCGUGGCCCAUCAUCCUCGCUUCUACUGGCCUCUUCCUCCUCCAAACGCCUCCAGCCUGCCCCUGUCCCCAUGUGGCAGUUAACUGUGUACUUGCUCAUGAAAUCUUAGUUUCAGCUACUCCUGAAACGAGCACUAUUUCGAGGGCUUUUCUGCUAUGUGAGCCAACAAAUUUCUUUCCGUAUUUGAGUUUGAAGCAGAUUAUUUUCUCUAGAAAUGGAAAGAAUCCUGUCUAAUAUAGACACCCAGAGUUUAGUGUCGCCCAACCUUAUCUGCCUGUCACCCUGGGCCCAAGUGCUUAUCUAUGGCUGCAUAACAAAUUACCCUAAACUUAGUGACUUUGGCAACCAGCCUCUAAGAUGGCCCUUAAACAUUCUCACCUCCUGGUAUUCACGCCCUUGUGGAGCCUCCUCCCAUAUCCUGUCAAGGUUAGUCUGUGAGACCAACAGAAUAUAGUGGAAGUGAUGCCGUGUGACUUCCAGGCAAGGUCAUAAGAGACAUUGCACUUUGCACCUUGCUUCUCCUGGGCACAUCCCACUGCACUGUGGUGUCUGAGUGAGCACACAGGAGGGUACACGACCGAGCCUUGGGGAGUCAGGGAGGGCUGCCUGGUGGAAGCAGUGACUGAACUGUGUUCUAAAACCUACCCCCGCAAAUGCCCAGUGGACACAGGUCUCUGAAGGCAGUUCAGUGAUGACAUUCAUGCCUUCAGGACAGGCUGUCACGCCUUCCAGGAUGUCAAAAGACACAUCUGGCCAGUGUAUGCACCAUGGAAGGGAGAAAACCAGACAAGGCCCCCAGACACUAUUUUCCUGCUGGGCCACACAGGAUCAUUUUCUCAGGGACCCCCUGCAGCCAGUGCCCCAGCCUCUGUGGUCAGCUCAGAGAAGUGAAGCUAAAGGAAGAGCCAUAGUUUCCACAGGCAAGAAGUUGGGGGUGGGCUGUUGGAGAGGAGGUGUUGACCUCCUGCAAACACACAGACACACAUCCUGUGAGCUGAGCUACUGCCUAUGCUUGAGCCACCCCCACCUCUGUCGACCAGCUGUCUCCAUUCCUAUCUGUGCCUUCCCCAAACGGGGAGCCCAGAACCUGCUAGAAUGUCCCUCCCCCUCCAACAACAGCUCCUGGCUCUCCCGCCCACACACUUCCCACUCCGGCCCCCUCCUUCCCAGCAGGGUCUUCACCAGGCCUGCCUCCUCUCCCUGGUUCUCAUUUGCACUUCAUUGGUCUUCUUUUCUUCCCUUUUGCUAGAUUUCCUUCCUAUGUGAUGUGACAUUGAGUGGGCAUGAGCAUGCGUCUCUGUGCACAUUCCUAAGAGUGUGUGUGUGUGUACAUGUGUGUACACCACUGGAUAUUGGUGUGUGUGCCAGACCCGGUGUAUGGGUACGUGCAUGCAAUGGGCUCAGAUAUGAGGUAGGCAGAGGUCCAGACCCUUUAGCACCUCCUGGAAAAGGCCUCCCUGCCCUGGCCCCAGCCUACCUCCCAGGCUUAUAUCUCAUGACACCUGCUUGGAACUCCCCCAACUCUUGCUCUCUCUCUCUCCUCAGCCUAGGGUUUCUGGUCCCAAUCUCCAUCCAUUAUUAGGCAAACUACUGCUUGUCCUUUAAGACUGGGCUCAAGCGUCACCUCCUCCCAGGAGCCACCUUGAGCCCUUGUGUCUGAGCUGGAUGCCCCCUACAGCAAUGGCCCCCAUCUCAUCUCUGCCCAAGGGCCAGCUGCUUGAGGGCCAGGACCUUGCCUGUGCUGGUCCCUUUCCCCCAGCAUCCAGCACGGCGCCUGGCUCAGGGUAGGAACUCAUUGCAGGGGGUGAAUGCAGCCACAGAGGCAGGGCAGAGAGGAAGACAGAAUUGGAGGCGGGGAAUAUAUAUGUAUAUAUAUAUUCUUUCCCCCAGCUAAUUAAUCUAGACAGAACUUUUCUCCUGGUAGAUUAAGGUUCAAGGGAAUUGUAGGGAUGUUGGGGAACGUGGGUUCAUUUUAUCCUUGGAAUUGAGGGGGAACUGUGUCCCCCAUCCCAUUACCCCCAUACACACUGGCACCACACCAGGCUGUGCUCUGGAAAGAAUGUGAGUUAUCACUCCUGUAAUCUUCCUGGCUUAAGGCCAGGGGCAAACACACUCGCAGCUCUGACCCUCACUAACCAUCCUCCCCACCCCAAACAAACGUUGAAGUCAGUCCUGGCCUGAGAAUGUGCUGGAAGACAUAGAGGGGAGGAAGGCCCCGCCCCCUCGGCCCCCACUGCUCCCCGAGCCAAUCGCGGAGCCCCUUUGGUUUCCGGAGCAAGGGUGAGGGGCGGGAGACGGGGAGUGGGACUGGAAGGGAUUUCCAGCCAGGCAGGCUGCAUGCUCCGGGGACUGACGCAACUGGAGAAUUUGGCUUCUUUUUAUCACAUAUAUCAUUUUGCCAUAUAUGGUCACCAAGAGCUACUGGCAGCCAGGCUCGGGCCCAGAUGGUGGGCUCCCAGAGUGAAAUGAGCUACAUACCAGCCCAGAACAAACAGACCAUCGCUCACUCGGCCGGACAGCCCAGGUGAAGCUGGCCAGGUGCAGAUGACCCCCUGAGGCUGGACAGAAUUCAAAGCAGCAUAGACAAACAGCAGACAAGACCCGCAGCUCCCAGGCCCUGUCCUUGCCAGAUGUUGGUGGCUCACCGUCCCCAACUGGCCUGACCCAGCAAGAGAUGCCACCCCAGCCUUCCAGGGACCUGAAGGUAGCCCAAAUGGCAGCACAGGAAGACAACCCCUGAGAUUAUGAGACCCAAGUAAAUCUUGGUGAUCCCCAAAGGCCUCUGUGGGGACUUCACUUUCUACCUCUAGCCUGAGGCAGUCAAUAUUUCCCGGGUUUACACCUCCAGCCCACAUCUCCAGAGCUCCAGACUCGCAGGUCAGAGGUGGCACUGUUUACCUGCCAAGGUGGUGGUACAAGCCUAAAGCAAAGACAGAUGGAGCAAGACUAGACCAACUCUGAGUGGUGGGCACAAGCUUGGGGCUGUUCCUUCACAGGAGCAGCUGAAUCUCCCAAGUCAGGGACGAGGGAGGCAGCUAGCCUCCCACACAGUGUCUCAAAGCUGCCAUCAGAGAGAGCACACUCUGGGUAGAAUGUGGCUCUGUGAUCUCUGUCUUCUAAUUCACUCUAAAUAGUAGGGACUGCUUCUUCCAGCAUCGCACUCCCUGUGCCCCUAGAACACGGGGAGCUCAACCCUGCUAUAUGUGAGAAAUACAAGGGAGCGUUUACAAACUACUGCUGUCGAGACCCAGUACAUUCUGAUGCAAUGGUCUGGGGUAGGUCUCAGGCAUGUGAUGUGAUAUAUAUCUGCUCCCUCACACUUUCCUGGUCAUCUGAUGAGUAGGUACAGCUGCAAACCAGGGUGGCUCUUUCUGGGGUAUCUGACCCAAGCCCACCAGCUCCUGAUCCCCCAACCUGGGUCAGCCUCAGGUCCACCCAGCAAAGCCGCUGACCAGGGAGCUGAGGGGUCUAACUGGCCAGUAAGGGUGAUCCCUGGCCUGGGAGUCAGAAUCCUGACUCCCACCUGGCUCUGCCCUGAAUUACCAGGACCCCGUAACUCAGUGCUCCUAAUUUCCUACAACCCCAAUUUCUUCAACCACCAACUCAGGAGGCAGAGAAGUUUUAUAAAGACCAACGAGAUUGUUUACCCAGAGUAAUGCUGCUAAACAAAUACUCUGCACCCACCAUGCUAGGUGCUGAAGGCAUGUUAUUUCCUUUGGUUCUACUACUCUGCCCACUUUAAAGCUGAGAGAAUUGAGGCUCAGAGAAGCUAACUCACUUGACCAGGGUCCCACAACCACUAACUACAUGAGGGAGCUGGAAUACAAUUCCAGAGCUUGCAUGCCUAAGCACCACCUUUGGUUUACACACCAGAGGAAUAUGAAGGGACUUAUUGCUGGCUGUCUUUUCCCGGAGGUCAAGGCUAAAGCUGGCAAGACAUACUCUGGGAGGAUGGUUCAGGUCGUGCAGAGAAGUGCCCUUGGCACACUCCUUGAUGUUGGUGUGGCAGCGUUGGUUUCCCCACCCUCCAUCGUGGGCUGCCAAGGAGUGGCUGCAAAGCUUUCUUCUUCAUUUAGUAAGAGCACAAGAUGGUGGUUGGCCCAAAGAUGAGGUGACAUUAGCCAGCUGAGAGAGAACAGCAGCCUUCUCUGCCCAGCUGGAAGGAAAGAAAAAACAAAGGAGCAUGGCAGAGUGAACUGUGGGCCUGUCUCCAACUCUGAAAGCUAGUAGCCUGCAGGUUCAGAUCUCCCUGCAUCCCGCCGCUCCACUUUUCACCUUCUUUUGAGCAAACCCAGAAGAGGAAUUCGAGCAUAGGAGAGAGUGGAAGAUGAGGUUAGUGUCAUGAGGGAGUGAAGGUAGAAGCAACCUGAAUCCGAAAACUGGGGUGUGGUAACUGGAAUUGGCAAGUCCAAGAAGAGCUAAGAGGCCAAGUGGGAAAGGUCAGAGACAUGGCUUUGUAAGUGUGUGUCAUUUGUUGACUUAAUGGAACUUGAACUUAAAAGAUGAGAGUUCAAGAGGUUAUUGGUUGCCUCUGAGGUAUUUUGCCUGAAUUGAGGGUAAGCUGCCACCCGUGGGACUUUUUGUUGUGGUGUUUGAACAGUCUGAUUGCAGUCAGAGCGUGGAUAACCACAGAAUUAGCAUCCCUUGCCUCUCAUCAUCUUUAUUAAACAUACACAUACAAACACACAAACACACACCAACCUCUUAAGUUAAAAGAAAACCAAAUUUGAAAAACAAUAAUGUUAUAAGAUGGAAUAGAGAGAGACAAGUUUCUGGGUUCCCCAUGGCUCCCUCUUCGCUAAGGCCAGACGCGAUGGUUCUUGCUCUUCUCCCUCUCUGAUGAUCUCAGUGGGGGAGAGAAAACCUUGCCUUUUUGUCUCACCUGCUUGAUUUAAUGACUGACUACACUCCUCCCUCCUCUAAGAGAGGCUCAGCUCAAGUUGCACUUGGAAUGCCAUGCCUGUCUUCCAAUCCAGGGCUCUGUCUGCUGCACAUUGCCGGAGGGCUGGAACGGGCAAUGUGGGCUAGGUUUGAAGGUCGAGGAGAGAAGCCGCUCACUCACGCUCUGAUGAUGAGGCUUCUCGCUCCAGCACUGACGCGGGGUUCACUAUGUUAUAGCAGACAUGAAAUGUCAGCAGCAAAGCGCCCUUCUGGAUUUACUUUCCCACUUCCUUCCGACGGGGAAGAAGCAGGUAAGGGAACACAGGAAAAGCUUGCAUAAAGCUUCUUGAUCCAAUCAGGUACACGCCAGAGGAAAUACGUUUCCCAGAGGAAAUAAGAAACCACCAGAUUGAUGCCGAUGAGGUCCAGGUGAGGCAGGGCCAGGAAAACCAGACUCGGAAGGAGCUGGGGUCUUCAAAUCCUGUCAUUCUUUUGAAAUGUUUUCAUUACUGAAAUUUUCAAACGCAUACAAAAGCAGAGAAAAUAGUACAAAGAACCCCCUCGGACCUAUCAGGCAAUUUCAACAAUUAACCGCAUGCUGCCAUCCUUGCUUCAUCAUUUCCUGCCACGUGUUUGGGUUUCUUUCUGGAAUAUUUAAAAGCAAAUUUCAUGUACAUUAAUUCACCUGUAGAUACGUCAGUAUUUAUCUCUAACAGAAACAGAUUUUUAACACAACCAUCAUACCAACAUCACAU